AGGGCUGGUGCUCUCGUUCAGAUAGAUUUAGCUGGUGGUGCAGAGAUCCGUGAGCUUGCUUUUACAGGACUUUAAUGAUAUAUAAAAGCAGCACGAGGUGCUCCUGACUGUGGAUUAAUUUGGAGAUGACUUUCUCUGUUGAAGAGUAGCAAGACUCUCGCGAGUUCUUAAAAAUGCACUUGUUUGGUAUGAGAAUGAAAAGCAGUGGCUGAAGAACCAAUCUUCAAUGGGCAAGCCUUCUCUGUGUCUGUUCUAACACGUGCCAUUUGGGAUCCCUUGGAAUCUUCAUGUACAGAACUGGUUGCUGCCUCGUUGAGUCGGUGGGGACAGAAUAGCUCCUGGUUGACAGCAUGGGUUGUGCAGAAGGACGGAUCCUGCAGACAUCAAUAUCUGGCUUUGAGUGGCACAAAGAAAUAAAGGAAUGUGGAUUCAGACCUCACUGGGAUGCUUGGCAAUUCUAAUUCUACCCCAGACUGCAAAUGGACACACAACUGUUGUGACUUUUGUUGAAGAGGAGAAGGAUGGCACAGAAGCUGGAUUCAGAAGCACACAGGUCUGGGGAUGCAGGCUUCGGCCAGCCUGAUGCAAGGAAAGACUGCCAUCUCGUGGUCAGCUCAAUCCUGGCACCUUGGUGAGGGACCAGGCUGCAGAAAACCAGGCUUGGGGAGGAAACGGUGCUGCAAACUGGAUUUCUGCCGGACAGUGUGGAUGCCCUUAGAAAACACCCAGAAAAGAGCUGAGUGCCCCCCAAGACUUGCCCUGAAUUCUUUCAUGUGCAAUAUCCGAAAACCCUCUCUUGGGGCCUGGAUCAGGACCCCUUUCCUAUAACAUCUUUCUGGCGACAACAAAGGGACAAUGGUGUGGAAUCCCCCUUCCCAAAUGCUACUUUUAGGUAAGUAUUGGGGUCCUGUAACAUAUUUCUGGCAAACCAUGGAAUGGACAAUACUGAAGAAACUCGCCAACCCAAAGGAUAUAGACUGUAGCAAUGAUUGGACGACUCUGAGCAAGUGGUGGGGUACCUGGGUAAAGAAUCGGAUGGGAUUAGAGGCCCAACUGGGGGAGUUAGAGUCUCUCCCAAGCCAGAGUGGGUUAGAGGCCCCUCUUAGUGAAAGGCAAGGACGCUUGACCCACCUUGGGUUAUAGGCCCGCCUUAGGAGGGUUAAAGUCCCUUCCAAGAUUUAGGGGGCUGGAGGCCCCUCUCAGUAAAGUCCCUCUCAGCUAAGAAUGAGUUUGGCACUGCAGGCUAUGCUCUUU
This is a long non-coding RNA of Homo sapiens (human), 1254 nucleotides long. Ensembl annotates it as long intergenic non-protein coding RNA 1727. NCBI's taxonomy places the organism in Eukaryota, Metazoa, Chordata, Mammalia, Primates, Hominidae. The record is from Ensembl.